AGUGAACGCUGGCGGCAGGCCUAACACAUGCAAGUCGAACGGCAGCACAGUAAGAGCGUGCUCUUACGGGUGGCGAGUGGCGGACGGGUGAGGAAUACAUCGGAAUCUACUUUUUCGGGGGGGAUAACGUAGGGAAACUUACGCUAAUACCGCAUACGACCUACCGGUGAGAGCAGUGGAGCUUCGGACCUUGGGCGAUUGAAUGAGCCGAUUCCGGAUUAGCUAGGUGGCGGGGUAAAGGCACACCAAGGCGACGAACCGCAGCCGACGUGGGAGGAGGAUCGGCCGCACUGGAACUGAGACACGGUCCAGACUCCUACGGGAGGCAGCAGUAUGGUAUCGUCCGCAAUGGGCGAAAGCCUGACGGAGCAACGCCGCGCGAGUGAUGAAGGUCUUCGGAUCGUAAAACUCUGUUAUGAGGUAAGAACAAAUGUGUAAGGAACUAUGCACGUCGUGACGGUACCUAAUCAGAAAGCCACGGCUAACUACGUG
Molecule: ribosomal RNA, 492 nt
Filed under: uncultured bacterium
Lineage: Bacteria
Description: partial 16S ribosomal RNA
Rfam family: Bacterial small subunit ribosomal RNA
Source: RNAcentral